This is a long non-coding RNA of Mustela lutreola (European mink), 1018 nucleotides long. RefSeq lists it as uncharacterized. The transcript is spliced from 2 exons. NCBI's taxonomy places the organism in Eukaryota, Metazoa, Chordata, Mammalia, Carnivora, Mustelidae. The record is from RefSeq and is a predicted model, not a curated record.
CAGGCAGAGAGAGGAGGGGAAGCAGGCUCCCCGCUGAGCAGAGAGCCCGAUGUGGGGCUCAACCCCAGGAUUCUGGGAUCACGGCCUGCGCCAAAGGCAGAGGCUUAACCCACUGAGCCACCCAGGCGCGCCCUGAGUGGGCACGUGGAGUGUGAAAUUGAACUGGACUUCUCAUGUGCCCUAACAGCCCGAGGGAGGCGGAGUGGGUGUGGAAAGCACAUGAAGGUUCGUCCACCAGAGUGACAACAUUCAAGACCCUGCUGGGCGGGCUGUGAAGAUGUUUGGCCUCAGCCAGUUGGACAGAAGCCGUGUGCCGUACGACCCAGCCACUCUGGGCCUAGGUCUAGGGUCCAAGUUCGAGCUCACAUACGUCGGACUGUACCAGAAUGUCUACGGCGGCGUUGGUGUUUAUAGCGAAACACGGGAAACAAAUGUCCUUUAAGAGAAAGGUAAAAGUGACAUAGGUAUGCAGCGGAUAUUAGAAGAGAUUUCCAGCUGGGGGCGAUUUUUUCCCUGGGCCAUUUGGCAAGACCUGGAGGUCAUUUCAGCCCCAGUGACCAGAGGUGGCGGCGUUACUACCACCCAAGGGAUAGAGGCCAGGGAUGCUGGUAAACAUUUGAGGAUGCACAAGACAGCUCCUCUCUAUCCCUACGCCAAAGACAUAAAGUCUAAGAUGUCGGCCUUGCUACACAGCCAAGCAAGUGAGCGAACUACAGCUUCUGUGUACCAGGGAAAUAAUGAGGGAGAAGCACGUGGCCAAAGAACACAGAGAGCACAAUACAGUUUAAAUAAGGUUCAAAAGCAUGAACAUCAAGCGGUCUAUUAUAAGGGGGAAAUAUAGGAUGCUGACGGAAUAAUUAAUGGAACGUUCAGACUCGUGGGGUCAGGUGGGCUGGGGCAUGUGACCAGGAGGAGCCCCAGGGGCCUUCAAAAGUGGCAGUGGCUUCCUACGCGGGGCCGCGGCUGCCCAGCUCCUGCUGUGUCUCUGUUUGUUAGAAUAUAAAAUAGUUCUUUUUUA